RNAcentral lists this ribosomal RNA (1485 nucleotides) under uncultured bacterium. RNAcentral's name for it is "16S ribosomal RNA". It matches the Rfam family "Bacterial small subunit ribosomal RNA". The record is from RNAcentral.
CUGGCUCAGGAUGAACGCUAGCGACAGGCCUAACACAUGCAAGUCGAGGGGCAUCGGGGCGAGGAGCAAUCCUUGCCGCCGGCGACCGGCGCACGGGUGAGUAACGCGUAUGCGACCUGCCCGUUGCAGGGGGAUAAUCGGGAGAAAUCCCGUCUAAUACCGCGUAAUGCCGCGGGGCUGCAUGGCCCUGCGGCCAAAGGAAGCGAUUCCGGCAACGGAUGGGCAUGCGUAACAUUAGCUAGUUGGCGGGGCAACGGCCCACCAAGGCGACGAUGUCUAGGGGUUCUGAGAGGAAGGUCCCCCACACUGGUACUGAAACACGGACCAGACUCCUACGGGAGGCAGCAGUGAGGAAUAUUGGUCAAUGGGCGUGAGCCUGAACCAGCCAAGUCGCGUGAGGGAUGACGGCCCUACGGGUUGUAAACCUCUUUUGUCGGGGAGCAAAUUCCGCCACGCGUGGCGGAGUCGAGAGUACCCGAAGAAAAAGCAUCGGCUAACUCCGUGCCAGCAGCCGCGGUAAUACGGAGGAUGCGAGCGUUAUCCGGAUUUAUUGGGUUUAAAGGGUGCGUAGGCGGACUGUCAAGUCAGCGGUAAAAUACGGGGGCUCAACCUCCGCCCGCCGUUGAAACUGACGGUCUUGAGUGGGCGAGAAGUAUGCGGAAUGCGUGGUGUAGCGGUGAAAUGCAUAGAUAUCACGCAGAACUCCGAUUGCGAAGGCAGCAUACCGGCGCCCAACUGACGCUGAAGCACGAAAGCGUGGGUAUCGAACAGGAUUAGAUACCCUGGUAGUCCACGCAGUAAACGAUGAAUACUAGCUGUCCGGGGCGAAUGAGCCCUGGGUGGCACAGCGAAAGCGUUAAGUAUUCCACCUGGGGAGUACGCCGGCAACGGUGAAACUCAAAGGAAUUGACGGGGGCCCGCACAAGCGGAGGAACAUGUGGUUUAAUUCGAUGAUACGCGAGGAACCUUACCCGGGCUCAAACGACACAGGAACGUACCUGAAAGGGUUCGGCUCUACGGAGCCUGUGUCGAGGUGCUGCAUGGUUGUCGUCAGCUCGUGCCGUGAGGUGUCGGCUUAAGUGCCAUAACGAGCGCAACCCCCAUCGACAGUUGCUAACAGGUCAGGCUGAGGACUCUGUCGAGACUGCCGGCGCAAGCUGCGAGGAAGGCGGGGAUGACGUCAAAUCAGCACGGCCCUUACGUCCGGGGCGACACACGUGUUACAAUGGCAGGUACAGCGGGAAGCCACCUGGCGACAGGGAGCGGAACCCGAAAGCCUGUCUCAGUUCGGAUUGGAGUCUGCAACCCGACUCCAUGAAGCUGGAUUCGCUAGUAAUCGCGCAGCAGCCACGGCGCGGUGAAUACGUUCCCGGGCCUUGUACACACCGCCCGUCAAGCCAUGGAAGCCGGGGGUGCCUGAAGUGCGCUGCCGCGAGGAGCGCCCUAGGGUAAAACCGGUGACUGGGGCUAAGUCGUAACAAGGUA